GCAAUGAUAGGCUCCAAGCUUGAGCUAAGGGGUGAUGGUCGAAAGGAAACCUUUGGUGGCUAGGCAAUCAAGGUAAUUGAGGGAUAAUUUGAGAUGGAGAGGAAAUGGGGGAAAGAGCCUAGGAGUUCCAGGAUUUUGUCUCUUUUUAUUUAGGUCAAGAUUAGAAAGUAUCUAUCUCUUGAUGACAUCCAACAAGACCUUAUAUCAAUAGAUAGG
Molecule: long non-coding RNA, 216 nt
Filed under: Elaeis guineensis (African oil palm)
Lineage: Eukaryota; Viridiplantae; Streptophyta; Magnoliopsida; Arecales; Arecaceae
Description: long non-coding RNA (EGUI_LNC001490)
Source: RNAcentral